UACGUACUGGGCGAACGUUAUUCGGAAUCACUGGGCUUAAAGGGUGCGUAGGCGGCCUUCCAGGUCCGGUGUGAAAUCUCUCGGCUCAACCGAGAAAUGGCGCUGGAAACCGGAAGGCUUGAGUGGGCUAGGGGUGUGUGGAACUUCCAGUGGAGCGGUGAAAUGUGUUGAUAUUGGAAGGAACGCCGGUGGCGAAAGCGACACACUGGGGCCUAACUGACGCUGAGGCACGAAAGCUAGGGUAGCGAACGGGAUUAGAAACCCCCGUAGUCC
Molecule: ribosomal RNA, 273 nt
Filed under: uncultured bacterium
Lineage: Bacteria
Description: partial 16S ribosomal RNA
Rfam family: Bacterial small subunit ribosomal RNA
Source: RNAcentral